AGGAAUCUGCCUGGUARUGGGGGACAACGUCUCGAAAGGGACGCUAAUACCGCAUACGUCCUACGGGRGAAAGSAGGGGACCUUCGGGCCUUGCGCUAUCAGAUGAGCCUAGGUCGGAUUAGCUUGUUGGUGAGGUAAUGGCUCACCAAGGCUGCGAUCCGUAACUGGUCUGAGAGGAUGAUCAGUCACCCUGGAACUGAGACACGGUCCAGACUCCUACGGGAGGCAGCAGUGGGGAAUAUUGGACAAUGGGCGAAAGCCUGAUCCAGCCAUGCCGCGUGUGUGAAGAAAGUCUUCGGAUUGUAAAGCACUUUAAGUUGGGAGGAAGGGCAGUAAGCUAAUACCUUGCUGUUUUGACGUUACCAACAKAAUAAGCACCGGCUAACUUCGUGCCAGCAGCCGCGGUAAUACGAAGGGUGCAAGCGUUAAUCGGAAUUACUGGGCGUAAAGCGCGCGUAGGUGGUUUGUUAAGUUG
This 475-nucleotide ribosomal RNA is filed under the name Stutzerimonas stutzeri. RNAcentral's name for it is "bacterial SSU rRNA". It matches the Rfam family "Bacterial small subunit ribosomal RNA", at positions 119 to 590 of the family's 1533-position model. Lineage: Bacteria; Pseudomonadati; Pseudomonadota; Gammaproteobacteria; Pseudomonadales; Pseudomonadaceae. The record is from RNAcentral.